GCUGGGGUGCCGCAUCUGCGGCUGAGAUGAUACCCAUUGAACCUGAUGCGGACAAUACCGCCGAAGGGAAUAGCGUGU
Molecule: non-coding RNA, 78 nt
Filed under: pig gut metagenome
Description: TPP riboswitch (THI element)
Rfam family: TPP riboswitch aptamer (THI element) (bases 3-69)
About the family: Vitamin B(1) in its active form thiamin pyrophosphate (TPP) is an essential coenzyme that is synthesised by coupling of pyrimidine and thiazole moieties in bacteria. The previously detected thiamin-regulatory element, thi box was extended, resulting in a new, highly conserved RNA secondary structure, the THI element, which is widely distributed in eubacteria and also occurs in some archaea.
Source: RNAcentral